RNAcentral lists this ribosomal RNA (276 nucleotides) under uncultured prokaryote. RNAcentral's name for it is "partial 16S ribosomal RNA". It matches the Rfam family "Bacterial small subunit ribosomal RNA", at positions 524 to 800 of the family's 1533-position model. The record is from RNAcentral.
CACGGGGUUGCGAGCGUUGUCCGGAAUUACUAGGCGUAAAGGGCAGGCAGGCGGAUCCACAAGUUUAUCGUUUAAGGCGUCGGCUUAACCGGCGUAGGGCGGUAGAUACUGUGGAUCUGGAAUGCGGUUGGGGAAGACAGAAUUCCUGGUGUAGCGGAGGAAUGCGCAGAGAUCAGGAGGAAUACCGAAGGCGAAGGCAGUCUUCCAAGCCGUUAUUGACGCUCAACUGCGAAGGUGUGGGUAUCAAACAGGAUUAGAUACCCUGGUAGUCCCUGA